This 422-nucleotide unclassified non-coding RNA is filed under the name Hevea brasiliensis (rubber tree). Lineage: Eukaryota; Viridiplantae; Streptophyta; Magnoliopsida; Malpighiales; Euphorbiaceae. The record is from RNAcentral.
UCAUCAUAAUUCAGAUUAUUAGCCAUGGAAGAUCACUGCAACUGCUAAAUACUUGAUUGCUAGAGAAGGUAUAGCUUGAGCAAGUUUGAGAUAAAGACGAUGGAACACAUAAAGAGAGAAGCAGAAUACAAGAGAACAAAGCAGUUCUCAAAGAUCUAUCCAUGGCUAAUAAUCUGAAUUAUGAUGAAAACAGACGAUAUCGAUUGCAGAGGUCUGAAGGGAUUGAUCCUACCUUAAGGGAACAAGUUUUCAAUAUCUGGGUACGUACUGAAAUUGUUCCCUGAUGAAAGCUGGUUUGAGAGUUGUAGAUCCAGAAACUUGAAAUGGUAUUAUAUAUAGUAGUCUGUGAGGACCAUUCAAGAAGGGAAAGCUGGCUUCUUAGAAGGGUUGUGGUUUUUUUGACUAAUUCCGUCUUGGAGUUG